RNAcentral lists this long non-coding RNA (1085 nucleotides) under Sorghum bicolor (sorghum). RNAcentral describes it as "long non-coding RNA (SBIC_LNC007791)". Lineage: Eukaryota; Viridiplantae; Streptophyta; Magnoliopsida; Poales; Poaceae. The record is from RNAcentral.
CACGCUAAGUACUCGCCCAACAAUUGAGUCUGACUUCUAUUAAGGCCUUGUUGUUUAGUUGAGAAGCUCAAAAGUUUUUCUUAUUUACUGUAGUACUUUUUUUUAAUUAUUAUUCAACUACAGACUAACUAUGCUCGUAUAAAAUUCAUUCACAAAUUACAGACAAACUAUAUAAUUAAUUAUUUUUUUUAUCUAUAUUCAAUGUUUAAUGCAUAUGACUCAAGAUUCGAUGGAAUGAACAAUCUUAAAAAAAAAAAAAAGGUUUUUGGGUGAAAUAUAAACCAGGCCUAAGUUCCCAGAUGCCUUUGCACCACAUGAUCAUGAUGAUAUUGCGUGCGUGCUUCAUCAACUUGCGAUGCGGUUAUGAAUCAUUGAGAGAGAGACACCGAUCGAUGGUUACAAGCAUGAAGGAUUGUGAUAUUCUACCGUACCAUGUCCAUCGCCUUGCCUCGAGUUUGUACCGCGCGUGCGUACGCACGUACGUGCACACGCAUCCAUCAACCAUAUCAUCAAGCAACAUAUAUAAAUAUAUAAAUAUAUUAAUUAGCACGUAAUUAAGUAGUACACCUUGCUCUGCUUACUCUUGACAAUAUCGCACGCAGAGAAAAUCUCUCUCUCUCUCACACACACACAAGUACGUACGUACGUACUCUGUGUUUGUAAAACUUGUUUGCACUUUGGGGAUGGAUCUACAACUCGUCCAACAUCAAAGGAAAUAAAAGGGUGCAAAUCACUUAAUUUGCUGGUAGAGUAACUCACAUUCAACAAACCUGGAGUAUAUAUAAAUAUAUAUAAAAGCAGUGGAAUAUACACUAUAUUUCAAUUUCCAACCAAUAAUUUGCUCAACUAACAAUAUCCAUCCCGAUUCUGAUUCUACGUUGACUUUUAUAGCAUAUAUCGUACGGUACCAUGCAUGCAUGCAGUAGGUGGUUGAGAUCGAGAGUUCGUUAGACAGCUGUGGUGCACGUGUGCACGAAUGCACAACGAGGUUUCCUAGCUAUCCCAUCUAUGUUUAUUAUUAUUAGCUCGCUUUUAUAGUAUCUUUUGUUGAUUUGUUCACAUAUAUACGUAUAUAUACUCCUACC